AGGAUGAACGCUAGCUACAGGCUUAACACAUGCAAGUCGAGGGGCAGCAUUUCAGUUUGCUUGCAAACUGGAGAUGGCGACCGGCGCACGGGUGAGUAACACGUAUCCAACCUGCCGAUAACUCGGGGAUAGCCUUUCGAAAGAAAGAUUAAUACCCGAUGGUAUAAUCAGACCGCAUGGUCUUGUUAUUAAAGAAUUUCGGUUAUCGAUGGGGAUGCGUUCCAUUAGGCAGUUGGUGAGGUAACGGCUCACCAAACCUUCGAUGGAUAGGGGUUCUGAGAGGAAGGUCCCCCACAUUGGAACUGAGACACGGUCCAAACUCCUACGGGAGGCAGCAGUGAGGAAUAUUGGUCAAUGGGCGCAGGCCUGAACCAGCCAAGUAGCGUGAAGGAUGACUGCCCUAUGGGUUGUAAACUUCUUUUAUAUGGGAAUAAAGUUUUCCACGUGUGGAAUUUUGUAUGUACCAUAUGAAUAAGGAUCGGCUAACUCCGUGCCAGCAGCCGCGGUAAUACGGAGGAUCCGAGCGUUAUCCGGAUUUAUUGGGUUUAAAGGGAGCGUAGGUGGACAGUUAAGUCAGUUGUGAAAGUUUGCGGCUCAACCGUAAAAUUGCAGUUGAUACUGGCUGUCUUGAGUACAGUAGAGGUGGGCGGAAUUCGUGGUGUAGCGGUGAAAUGCUUAGAUAUCACGAAGAACUCCGAUUGCGAAGGCAGCUCACUGGACUGCAACUGACACUGAUGCUCGAAAGUGUGGGUAUCAAACAGGAUUAGAUACCCUGGUAGUCCACACAGUAAACGAUGAAUACUCGCUGUUUGCGAUAUACAGUAAGCGGCCAAGCGAAAGCAUUAAGUAUUCCACCUGGGGAGUACGCCGGCAACGGUGAAACUCAAAGGAAUUGACGGGGGCCCGCACAAGCGGAGGAACAUGUGGUUUAAUUCGAUGAUACGCGAGGAACCUUACCCGGGCUUAAAUUGCAUUUGAAUAUAUUGGAAACAGUAUAGCCGUAAGGCAAAUGUGAAGGUGCUGCAUGGUCGUCGUCAGCUCGUGCCGUGAGGUGUCGGCUUAAGUGCCAUAACGAGCGCAACCCUUAUCUUUAGUUACUAACAGGUCAUGCUGAGGACUCUAGAGAGACUGCCGUCGUAAGAUGUGAGGAAGGUGGGGAUGACGUCAAAUCAGCACGGCCCUUACGUCCGGGGCUACACACGUGUUACAAUGGGGGGUACAGAAGGCAGCUACCUGGUGACAGGAUGCUAAUCCCAAAAGCCUCUCUCAGUUCGGAUCGAAGUCUGCAACCCGACUUCGUGAAGCUGGAUUCGCUAGUAAUCGCGCAUCAGCCAUGGCGCGGUGAAUACGUUCCCGGGCCUUGUACACACCGCCCGUCAAGCCAUGAAAGCCGGGGGUACCUGAAGUACGUAACCGCAAGGAGCGUCCUAGGGUAAAACUGGUAAUUGGGGCU
RNAcentral lists this ribosomal RNA (1453 nucleotides) under uncultured organism. Its description in RNAcentral is "SSU rRNA". It matches the Rfam family "Bacterial small subunit ribosomal RNA". The record is from RNAcentral.